This 448-nucleotide ribosomal RNA is filed under the name Bacillus cereus. Its description in RNAcentral is "bacterial LSU rRNA". It matches the Rfam family "Bacterial large subunit ribosomal RNA", at positions 2497 to 2925 of the family's 2925-position model. The record is from RNAcentral. Lineage: Bacteria; Bacillati; Bacillota; Bacilli; Caryophanales; Bacillaceae.
AGUCCACAUCGACGGGGAGGUUUGGCCCCUCGAUGUCGGCUCAUCACAUCCUGGGGCUGAAGCCGGUCCCAAGGGUAUGGCUGUUCGCCAUUUAAAGUGGUACGCGAGCUGGGUUUAGAACGUCGUGAGACAGUUCGGUCCCUAUCUGCCGUGGACGUUUGAGAUUUGAGAGGGGCUGCUCCUAGUACGAGAGGACCGGAGUGGACGAACCUCUGGUGUUCCGGUUGUCACGCCAGUGGCAUUGCCGGGUAGCUAUGUUCGGGAAAGAUAACCGCUGAAAGCAUCUAAGCGGGAAACUUGCCUCAAGAUGAGAUCUCACUGGAACCUUGAGUUCCCUGAAGGGCCGUCGAAGACUACGACGUUGAUAGGUUGGGUGUGUAAGCGCUGUGAGGCGUUGAGCUAACCAAUACUAAUUGCCCGUGAGGCUUGACCAUAUAACACCCAAGCA